CAGCCGCCGCGGUAACACGGAGGGUGCAAGCGUUAAUCGGAAUUACUGGGCGUAAAGCGCACGCAGGCGGUCUGACAAGUCAGAUGUGAAAUCCCCGGGCUUAACCUGGGAACUGCAUUUGAAACUGUCAGGCUGGAGUCUUGUAGAGGGGGGUAGAAUUCCAGGUGUAGCGGUGAAAUGCGUAGAGAUCUGGAGGAAUACCGGUGGCGAAGGCGGCCCCCUGGACAAAGACUGACGCUCAGGUGCGAAAGCGUGGGGAGCAAACAGGAUUAGAUACCCCUGUAGUCCCUUCUCUUAUACA
RNAcentral lists this ribosomal RNA (301 nucleotides) under uncultured bacterium. RNAcentral describes it as "partial 16S ribosomal RNA". It matches the Rfam family "Bacterial small subunit ribosomal RNA", at positions 509 to 809 of the family's 1533-position model. The record is from RNAcentral.